Molecule: ribosomal RNA, 643 nt
Filed under: uncultured Porphyromonadaceae bacterium
Lineage: Bacteria; Pseudomonadati; Bacteroidota; Bacteroidia; Bacteroidales; Porphyromonadaceae
Description: bacterial SSU rRNA
Rfam family: Bacterial small subunit ribosomal RNA
Source: RNAcentral
UAGCAUACAACUGGGUGGCGACCGGCGCACGGGUGAGUAACGCGUAUGCAACCUUUCUAUCAGAGGGGAAUAACCCGGCGAAAGUCGGACUAAUACCGCAUAAAACAGGGACACCGCAUGGUGAUAUUUGUUAAAGAAAUUCGCUGAUAGAUGGGCAUGCGUUCCAUUAGGUAGUUGGUGAGGUAACGGCUCACCAAGCCGACGAUGGAUAGGGGAACUGAGAGGUUGGUCCCCCACACUGGUACUGAGACACGGACCAGACUCCUACGGGAGGCAGCAGUGAGGAAUAUUGGUCAAUGGGCGAGAGCCUGAACCAGCCAAGUCGCGUGAAGGAAGAAGGAUCUAUGGUUCGUAAACUUCUUUUGCAGGGGAAUAAAGUGCAGGACGUGUCCUGUUUUGUAUGUACCCUGAGAAUAAGGAUCGGCUAACUCCGUGCCAGCAGCCGCGGUAAUACGGAGGGUCCGAGCGCUAUCCGGAUUUAUUGGGUUUAAAGGGUGCGUAGGUGGUUUGAUAAGUCAGCGGUGAAAGUUUGCAGCUUAACUGUAAAAAUGCCGUUGAAACUGUCGGACUUGAGUGUAAAUGAGGUAGGCGGAAUGCGUGGUGUAGCGGUGAAAUGCUUAGAUAUCACGAAGAACUCCGAUUG